RNAcentral lists this transfer RNA (74 nucleotides) under Candidatus Kerfeldbacteria bacterium CG_4_9_14_3_um_filter_45_8. RNAcentral describes it as "tRNA-Trp". It matches the Rfam family "tRNA". From Rfam's summary of the family: Transfer RNA (tRNA) molecules are approximately 80 nucleotides in length. Their secondary structure includes four short double-helical elements and three loops (D, anti-codon, and T loops). The record is from RNAcentral. RNAcentral also lists the same sequence under 1 other name. Lineage: Bacteria; Candidatus Kerfeldiibacteriota.
AGGGGAUUCGUAUAUCGGUAGUACACCGGUCUCCAAAACCGUUAGGGCGGGUUCGAUUCCUGCAUCCCCUGCCA